Molecule: ribosomal RNA, 789 nt
Filed under: Triactis producta
Lineage: Eukaryota; Metazoa; Cnidaria; Anthozoa; Actiniaria; Aliciidae
Description: partial 12S ribosomal RNA
Rfam family: Bacterial small subunit ribosomal RNA
Source: RNAcentral
AAACAAGGGGGAAGUUCGAAAGAAGCAGCAGUAGAGAAUAUUGUACAAUAAAUUAAAAUUUGAUACAGAGAGGCCUUUAUGGCCUGUCAAAAUAAGUGCCAGCAGACGCGGUGAUACUUAUAGGCCGGUUUUCUAAGAAAGGCGUAAAGAAGGUGAAACUUGUAAACAAAAAGAAACAUUUGGAGCUUUUUUGAAACGGAACAAUGUUAAGAAAAAAUGAAACGCCAAGUGGAAAAUGUUAUAAGGAGAAACAUGAAAGAGAGGGGAGCUAACAGGAUUAGACACCCUGGUCGUCCUCUCCGUAAACCUUGAAGUAAUUGUGUUACAAAGUUGAAAAAAAACUUCCGCCUGAAUGGUACGUUCGCAAGAAUAAAAUUCAAAAAAAUUGGCUGUUCAUUUUAAAAUUAGAGGGGCGCGUAUAUUAAUCGAAGGUACGCGAGCAUCUCACCUUGGUUGGAGUAAUUAGGUAUUGCAUGGCCGUCGUAAUUUCAUGUUUUAAACAAGGAAUUAACUCAUGCUAAUGAAGUAAGAUAGGUAGGAUGAUCCAAAUGCCAAGGGCUAUAUUCGCCACGUUACUAUAUUUAAUAUAAAAUAUAAAGCCGGAAAGGCUUUGUAAAAGGCCUAGAAGUUGAAUUUAAUAGUAAUCGGAGAAGAGAAAGCUCCGGUAAAUUUUAUAAAUGUAAGCACAAAUUGCCCGUCACCUCCCCUUAAAAANUUUUUUUGAAAUAAGUUAUAACAAAAAAAAAUAAAGGGGAGCAAGUCGUAACAUAGUGAGAGAGGGGGGAACAA